RNAcentral lists this ribosomal RNA (252 nucleotides) under uncultured bacterium. RNAcentral's name for it is "partial 16S ribosomal RNA". It matches the Rfam family "Bacterial small subunit ribosomal RNA", at positions 525 to 776 of the family's 1533-position model. The record is from RNAcentral.
ACGUAGGGACCGAGCGUUGUCCGGAAUCAUUGGGCGUAAAGAGCGUGUAGGCGGCCCAGUAGGUCUCGUGUUAAAUCCCGCGGCUCAACCGCGGACCUGCACGGGAAACCCCUGGGCUCGAGUCCGGAAGGGGAGAGUGGAAUUCCUGGUGUAGCGGUGAAAUGCGCAGAUAUCAGGAAGAACACCCGUAGCGAAGGCGGCUCUCUGGGACGGUACUGACGCUGAGACGCGAAAGCGUGGGGAGCAAACAGG